UUGAUGAUUUGGUGGAAAACGGAGAGAAGAUUCGUUCCUGGGAAAAGUGAAACUCUGGUCAGAAACAGGAUGUGAUAAGAAGAAGAAGAAGAUGUUGUGGACAUGGGAUGAUAAGUUGGAUGUGAAGUUGAAACAAGAGCAAUGGAACGAAGAGAAGCAGGAGACCAGUAACGAGAAGAAAAAGAGCAAGAAGAAGAUGGAGAGAUUGGCUUUGAGGAGAGGAAGAGCAAAAUCAAAAGGAGAAUUAAGGCACUUGAAAGUAUGAUGCUUGAAUGCGUAGUCCUUUUUAACUAAAACUUUCCCAAGUACAGCUGAUCCUCACAGACAUUCUGGACGAAAUAGGACUUCGAUUAGGAUAUCAACAUUUCGGUAAAUAAUUUUGGUGGAGGGAGAAGUUUCUUUUCAGUCUUAUGUCCAUCUAACAAAGGCGGGUAUCUCCAUCUGAUUCAAACUGUUUGUAUGUUAUCUUCAACAGUUAGUUGUUACAGAGAUUGUGAUAAUAACUACAGAAGGAAUUGACCUCAUGUCAAACUGAUAAUUGGCCGGGAGAAAAAACAUGCUUGAAGCUUGGAAGAAAGAAGAGACAGGAAACAAAAAGAAUAAAAGACUUGAUGACAUGCUUAUCAGCAUUUGGGCAAGUCCGCAGGAGGAGGAAGAAGUUUCUGAUCAGGCUUAUCUCCAUCCAGAACAAGCCAAGCCAUCCUCAAACCCCAACUGGUAUGUACUUCCAAGUGACAGUGCAUGAACCACACUCCUGUCAAACAUUUUGGUUAUCUGCAAGGAAUCGAAUAGCAGCCCAUCCGCCAGAAGGCACACCGACUGUGUUCCUCUCAAUCGGGUCAACAAGGUUGAAGUUCUUAGGAUCCUUGUUCGGGUCGAAGUUCCCAAACCCCUGG
Molecule: long non-coding RNA, 896 nt
Organism: Brassica oleracea var. oleracea
Lineage: Eukaryota; Viridiplantae; Streptophyta; Magnoliopsida; Brassicales; Brassicaceae
Exons: 5
Source: RefSeq, a predicted model, not a curated record